Long non-coding RNA from Mastomys coucha (southern multimammate mouse), 186 nucleotides. RefSeq lists it as uncharacterized. The transcript has 2 exons. NCBI's taxonomy places the organism in Eukaryota, Metazoa, Chordata, Mammalia, Rodentia, Muridae. The record is from RefSeq and is a predicted model, not a curated record.
AGUCUCCCAUUCUGUAAGCUUCAAUGCCCUACCCACAAUGCCAAAGGAACUAAAUGGUUGAAGGCGAGGAAGAAACCCUGGACCAAGCUUAAACAUUUCUACCACACUACUCUGCAACCACGCCAAUGUGGCCUGAACCAUUGUUCAUUGUUUAUUGGGGUGCACAAUAAAACAAGCUGUCCUCCA